Molecule: ribosomal RNA, 720 nt
Filed under: uncultured bacterium
Lineage: Bacteria
Description: bacterial SSU rRNA
Rfam family: Bacterial small subunit ribosomal RNA
Source: RNAcentral
AGUCGAGGGGCAGCAUGGUCUUAGCUUGCUAAGGCCGAUGGCGACCGGCGCACGGGUGAGUAACACGUAUCCAACCUGCCGUCUACUCUUGGACAGCCUUCUGAAAGGAAGAUUAAUACAAGAUGGCAUCAUGAGUCCGCAUGUUCACAUGAUUAAAGGUAUUCCGGUAGACGAUGGGGAUGCGUUCCAUUAGAUAGUAGGCGGGGUAACGGCCCACCUAGUCUUCGAUGGAUAGGGGUUCUGAGAGGAAGGUCCCCCACAUUGGAACUGAGACACGGUCCAAACUCCUACGGGAGGCAGCAGUGAGGAAUAUUGGUCAAUGGGCGAGAGCCUGAACCAGCCAAGUAGCGUGAAGGAUGACUGCCCUAUGGGUUGUAAACUUCUUUUAUAAAGGAAUAAAGUCGGGUAUGGAUACCCGUUUGCAUGUACUUUAUGAAUAAGGAUCGGCUAACUCCGUGCCAGCAGCCGCGGUAAUACGGAGGAUCCGAGCGUUAUCCGGAUUUAUUGGGUUUAAAGGGAGCGUAGAUGGAUGUUUAAGUCAGUUGUGAAAGUUUGCGGCUCAACCGUAAAAUUGCAGUUGAUACUGGAUAUCUUGAGUGCAGUUGAGGCAGGCGGAAUUCGUGGUGUAGCGGUGAAAUGCUUAGAUAUCACGAAGAACUCCGAUUGCGAAGGCAGCCUGCUAAGCUGCAACUGACAUUGAGGCUCGAAAGUGUGGGUAUC